This 450-nucleotide ribosomal RNA is filed under the name uncultured bacterium. RNAcentral's name for it is "partial 16S ribosomal RNA". It matches the Rfam family "Bacterial small subunit ribosomal RNA", at positions 354 to 796 of the family's 1533-position model. The record is from RNAcentral.
GUGGGGAAUUUUGGACAAUGGGCGCAAGCCUGAUCCAGCAAUGCCGCGUGCAGGAAGAAGGCCUUCGGGUUGUAAACUGCUUUUGUACGGAACGAAAAGCCUCUGGUUAAUACCCGGGGGUCAUGACGGUACCGUAAGAAUAAGCACCGGCUAACUACGUGCCAGCAGCCGCGGUAAUACGUAGGGUGCGAGCGUUAAUCGGAAUUACUGGGCGUAAAGCGUGCGCAGGCGGUUUUGUAAGACAGGCGUGAAAUCCCCGGGCUCAACCGGGGAAUUCCGCUUGUGACUGCAAGGCUGGAGUGCGGCAGAGGGGGAUGGAAUUCCGCGUGUAGCAGUGAAAUGCGUAGAUAUGCGGAGGAACACCGAUGGCGAAGGCAAUCCCCUGGGCCUGCACUGACGCUCAUGCACGAAAGCGUGGGGAGCAAACAGGAUUAGAAACCCUAGUAGUCC